RNAcentral lists this ribosomal RNA (248 nucleotides) under uncultured bacterium. Its description in RNAcentral is "partial 16S ribosomal RNA". It matches the Rfam family "Bacterial small subunit ribosomal RNA", at positions 86 to 334 of the family's 1533-position model. The record is from RNAcentral.
AGAUGGCGACCGGCGCACGGGUGAGUAACACGUAUCCAACCUGCCGAUAACUCGGGGAUAGCCUUUCGAAAGAAAGAUUAAUACCCGAUGGUAUAAUCAGACCGCAUGGUCUUGUUAUUAAAGAAUUUCGGUUUAUCGAUGGGGAUGCGUUCCAUUAGGCAGUUGGUGAGGUAACGGCUCACCAAACCUUCGAUGGAUAGGGGUUCUGAGAGGAAGGUCCCCCACAUUGGAACUGAGACACGGUCCAA